AGUGAACGCUGGCGGUAUGCCUAACACAUGCAAGUCGAACGGCAGCACAGUAAGAGCUUGCUCUUACGGGUGGCGAGUGGCGGACGGGUGAGGAAUACAUCGGAAUCUACUUUUUCGUGGGUGAUAACGUAGGGAAACUUCCGCUAAUACCUCAUACGACCUACGGGUGAAAGCAGGGGAUCUUCGGACCUUGCGCGAUUGAAUUAGCCGAUGUCGGAUUAGCUAGUUGGCGGGGUAAAGGCCCACCAAGGCGACGAUCCGUAGCUGGUCUGAGAGGAUGAUCAGCCACACUGGAACUGAGACACGGUCCAGACUCCUACGGGAGGCAGCAGUGGGGAAUAUUGGACAAUGGGCGCAAGCCUGAUCCAGCAAUACCGCGUGGGUGAAGAAGGCCUUCGGGUUGUAAAGCCCUUUUGUCGGGAAAGAAAAGCAGCAGGUUAAUACCCCGCUGUUCUGACGGUACCCAAAGAAUAAGCACCGGCUAACUUCGUG
Molecule: ribosomal RNA, 492 nt
Filed under: uncultured bacterium
Lineage: Bacteria
Description: partial 16S ribosomal RNA
Rfam family: Bacterial small subunit ribosomal RNA
Source: RNAcentral